UUAUAAUUGCUGCACGCUGUUCUUGGAUGUAUAGGCAACAUGCAUUCCUGAGAUGCUGUGUUUCUUUUUUGCUUUGGGACGGUCGACUGGCGAUAUCGUAUUACAUCCGGCGCGAAGGCCUAUUGUUUCGCAUUGGCAUAUGCGUGUUCCCCGUUUUGACGAUGGCUGGAUAAUUAUUGACGUGAGGAAUAAUAUGAAUUUAUGUGGCUGUGAAUAGACCUCGGGUUUUUGCUCGUUGUGAGGCACUAAAAAUGUGUGAGUGUGCGUGUGCGUUUGUGCAGCUGGGACCCCACUUGACAAGUGCGGCAAUGGUGUAGGCGGACGGAGCAUUACGUGAAGCCAAGGGCAAGCUGCGACCUUGAACAUGCAGAGCAAGUUUAUUUUUAGGCUAUGACAACUCCUCGCACCCGUGCAUGUUGGGGCAUGCAGCGAGGUCGCCGCUAUAUAAGUGGGGAGGAUGUGUAAAGAGGCAGCAGUCUUCGCAUCGCUUCGGGAGUGUGCGGAGCUCGCUUCAAAAUGCCUAGAUGCGUGUUCUGCUUUUUUGAUCCUCAUGAUAUCAUGGAUGAUGAGCCAUUGGAAGAGAAUUCACCAUCUUCUCCAGACAUUUCACCUGCCACAUUGCAUGCUCACGUCAAGCGAUCACAUCCCUAUGUGGACAUUUCCUUCCUGCCUUUCUUUCAAACUGAUAGCGCAUUUCGAGGUAUCGUCAAAGCGUUUGUGCUGUUGGCAUCUGUUCACGAUCAGGGAGUAGAGGACUUGCGACAAUAUUUAAUGAACCACCUCCACAACAUAAUUGCUAUUUUGCGAGCACAAAGAAUACCCUUUAGGUUUUGCAUUUGUUCUGACGUUCUAAUGAUGAAAGAAAAUCGAGGGGAUCUAACCGCACACAUAGCUCAUUUUAUGGCGCUUGCUCGCGAAGUCCACAGCGACGGAGCUAUCGCAAAUACUUUGAUGGAUGUGAUUCAGGAGUCCACCGGACGCAUUGAAAAUUACCAGCGCGAGGGUAGUGGGUUUGUAUCCACUGACGUCCAAAAAGUUCAAAUGUGUAUUUCCGCUGUGAAAACUAAAAAAAUUCGGGUGCAAUGGGGUACUUCCCACGAAUCUGGCUAAACGCAGAAACGUGUUAAUGAAUGUCCCUUUACCAGAGCGUAAGGAGGGCGAGUGCUUUAAAUACAAUACACUUGCCCUCUUGCACCCGCAGGAAAGGAACCGAUGAAAAAAAUAUGAAAAUUAUGCAACAGAGUACUGGUGGCCUAGUCACUUCCCUGUAUCCUUCUCUGAUCUUGACGAAUUCGAAAACCAAAACAAGAUUUCCGUCUACGUGUACGCGUACGUCGAUCAGGGAGUACAUGUGUCGCGACCCCCAAAACUAGAAUGGGAAAAGAAAAUUCACUUGUUGGAAGUAGAUGAGCAUUUUUUUGGAAUUAAGUCCCUCAAACGCUUGUUGACAACAAGAAGUAACCAUUUCGUAUGCGAACGCUGUACACGCUCUUUCGUGAAGGAAGAGAGCAUGGCGAAACAUUGAUGCCUUUGCACGGACGUGAACGAAAUCCUGUUGGAAUUUUGCGAGCCUGGAAAAAAUUUUGUAGAGUUUACUAAAAUGCAGUACAUGCAGCAGUACAACUACGUCGUUGCGUUGGACACUGAGAGCGUACUCGCAUCCAGUGGUGUUGGCAUGCAACGUCACAUUACCUCUAGCUUCUGUGCUGUGCUCGUGCGUACCCACGACUCAAAGGUGAUGCGUAUUAGAACACACCACGGGGAAGAUGCGGCAAAGCAGUGUGUGAAGGCGCUCAUGGAAAUGCGUGAUGAAAUGAUUGCCUUGAACGCCUGCCCCGCUGUAAUGGUGCUGAGCGAUGAACAACAAGCCAAGCACAGAGCUGCCACCCACUGUGCAUACUGUAAACGGGAAUUCGCGAAAGACCUACCUCGUGUCCGGCAUCAUGAUCAUUCGAAGCAUUGUACUGCGGGUGAGACAAAUUAUAUCGCGACACUGUGCAACCCCUGUAACGUCGCGUGCACUACCAGAGAAAAAUUGCCGAUCAUGGUCCACAAUUUGUCUUAUGAUUUGGCUGGACUGUUACGGGAAUUUCACGUUCUCGGGUGGAAGCGGCCUC
Ornithodoros turicata is the source of this 2117-nucleotide long non-coding RNA. RefSeq lists it as uncharacterized. Lineage: Eukaryota; Metazoa; Arthropoda; Arachnida; Ixodida; Argasidae. The record is from RefSeq and is a predicted model, not a curated record. The transcript is spliced from 3 exons.